RNAcentral lists this ribosomal RNA (463 nucleotides) under uncultured bacterium. RNAcentral describes it as "partial 16S ribosomal RNA". It matches the Rfam family "Bacterial small subunit ribosomal RNA", at positions 28 to 507 of the family's 1533-position model. The record is from RNAcentral.
GACGAACGCUGGCGGCGUGCUUAACACAUGCAAGUCGAACGGAAAGGCCUUUUCGGAGGUACUCGAGUGGCGAACGGGUGAGUAACACGUGGGUGAUCUGCCCUGCACUCUGGGAUAAGCCUGGGAAACUGGGUCUAAUACCGGAUAGGACCGCACUUUAGUGUGUGUGGUGGAAAGUUUUUUCGGUGUAGGAUGAGCCCGCGGCCUAUCAGCUUGUUGGUGGGGUAAUGGCCUACCAAGGCGGCGACGGGUAGCCGGACUGAGGGGUUGGUCGGCCACAUUGGGACUGAGAGUCGGCCCCGACUCCUACGGGAGGCAGCAGUGGGGAAUAUUGCACAAUGGGCGCAAGCCUGAUGCAGCGACGCCGCGUGGGGGAUGACGGCCUUCGGGUUGUAAACUCCUUUCGCCAGGGACGAAGCGUUUUGUGACGGUACCUGGAGAAGAAGCACCGGCUAACUACGUG